This is a long non-coding RNA of Schistocerca serialis cubense, 1472 nucleotides long. RefSeq lists it as uncharacterized. The transcript has 2 exons. The record is from RefSeq and is a predicted model, not a curated record. Lineage: Eukaryota; Metazoa; Arthropoda; Insecta; Orthoptera; Acrididae.
CCCUAGCAGAGGAGCAGGAGCAGCAGCACUGCAGCAGGCAGUAGCGUAUGGCGACCUUGGAAUCCUGUUGGGCUGUGAGGUGCUGGGUGUGUUGUUUUACUGUACGUCUCUUUCGCCACCGCGUAGUAUUUGCUUUGCGUCAGACCAUGGAGGGGAAGUGCUGUGUACCAGGCUGUACUGGCUGCUACCAAAUUGGCGAAAAGAUAUGUCUUAAAAUUUGCAAAAGACGCCGGACUGAGGAUGAAAUAAUCUCUUGCUAUUGCACUCGAGAACUUUCCACUAGAACAUUCUGAGACAGAUUUAUCAAGAAAACUGAUUUCUGAAUGAUCCCAUUCUCGAAAAUACUGCAGAUACUUGGAAAGGAGUAACAGUUCCUUUGGAAAAACCUGGAUUGAAAGAAGGUGUCUUGUAUUAGUUACCGAACUGUACCAGUUAUUUGAAUUGAACAAAAGAUGUGCAAGUCAAGUCAAAGAAAACAGGGGAUGGAAGGUGGUGGUUAUGGGUUGAGAAUGACUAUAUCGGAAAGCAUAGAAACAGCUUCUGCAAAAAGGUGAAAAAUUCGGUUUUCACGGUUAUGAUGAAUUUGUGAGAGAAACUGAAAAUGUUACAGGGAGUGAAGUGAAGUGAGAAAAUAAUAUGUACCGAACGUGUACCUGAAUUUUGAGACAGCUCCACCUGAUAUUAGAUUCAUAACAGUUUGCCCGAGCCUCAGUGUUAAACUGUGUAUUCCCUAGGGACUUAGUAGUGUAAUUAAAGUUGAAAGUGUUUUGAAGUUAUGUAGAGAUUUAAUUAGUGACAGAGAAAUGACUUGCACAAGCCAUUCCUUCCUUCUUGAAAUUUUAGCAGUUACAGAAGGUAAGAAAAGAUAUGAUUCUUUCAUUUCUGAAGUCGCAAAUUAAAUUUACUAAAAUCCAGUACUAGUCAUAAAUUUGAUCUAGUGUGUAUGAUUCUAUGUUCUUUAUUAUUUCUCUACAUACCUUUUAAGGUUUUGAAGAUGUCUAGUUUCGUCAUUUUACCACAUCCAAAUUCAUUAAGGGAACAAAGCUGUAAUAAAAAUGUGAACCUAAGGAAUCCUAAACCACAUGAACUAUUUGUGAUGUCUGCUAGAUGAGAUUCACAUCAAGCCGUAUGUAGAUUUUAAGGCAGAUGAUGAUACUGGAAUUACUUUAGAUACUGUUGAUAUACCAUUAUUGAAAGCAUUCUUUAUUCCUAUAAAAAUGUUGUGUAUGCAUUGGCUCUGAAGAAGCUGCAAAAAGCUUGUUUAAACUAGCAGUAGGUGUAGAAGCUGAUGGGUUUCAGACUCUUUAAAUUGUUGCAGAUGAUGAUCCAUUAAUAGGUUUGCAAAUCCAAUGCAAGCAGAUUUUGUGUACCCAUCCUGCAGAUAGUAAAAGAUCUGUUUUUUCUACAUAACAGUAUUCAUGGUUCUAAGUGUGUGUGAGACAACUGAAUAAAUGUAAAGAAACAUAGUCAUA